CACUCCUACGGGAGGCAGCAGUGGGGAAUAUUGCACAAUGGGCGCAAGCCUGAUGCAGCCAUGCCGCGUGUAUGAAGAAGGCCUUCGGGUUGUAAAGUACUUUCAGCGGGGAGGAAGGCGAUAAGGUUAAUAACCUUGUCGAUUGACGUUACCCGCAGAAGAAGCACCGGCUAACUCCGUGCCAGCAGCCGCGGUAAUACGGAGGGUGCAAGCGUUAAUCGGAAUUACUGGGCGUAAAGCGCACGCAGGCGGUCUGUCAAGUCGGAUGUGAAAUCCCCGGGCUCAACCUGGGAACUGCAUUCGAAACUGGCAGGCUAGAGUCUUGUAGAGGGGGGUAGAAUUCCAGGUGUAGCGGUGAAAUGCGUAGAGAUCUGGAGGAAUACCGGUGGCGAAGGCGGCCCCCUGGACAAAGACUGACGCUCAGGUGCGAAAGCGUGGGGAGCAAACAGGAUUAGAUACCCCAGUAGUCCCAUGAU
RNAcentral lists this ribosomal RNA (476 nucleotides) under uncultured organism. RNAcentral describes it as "partial 16S ribosomal RNA". It matches the Rfam family "Bacterial small subunit ribosomal RNA", at positions 334 to 801 of the family's 1533-position model. The record is from RNAcentral.